UACGUAGGUCCCGAGCGUUGUCCGGAUUUAUUGGGCGUAAAGCGAGCGCAGGUGGUUUAUUAAGUCUGGUGUAAAAGGCAGUGGCUCAACCAUUGUAUGCAUUGGAAACUGGUAGACUUGAGUGCAGGAGAGGAGAGUAGAAUUCCAUGUGUAGCGGUGAAAUGCGUAGAUAUUAGGAGGAACACCGGUGGCGAAGGCGGCUUACUGGACAGAAACUGACACUGAGGCUCGAAAGCGUGGGGAGCAAACAGG
This 252-nucleotide ribosomal RNA is filed under the name uncultured bacterium. RNAcentral describes it as "partial 16S ribosomal RNA". It matches the Rfam family "Bacterial small subunit ribosomal RNA", at positions 524 to 776 of the family's 1533-position model. The record is from RNAcentral.